AACGCGAAGAACCUUACCUGGGCUCGAAGCACAGUGGACCGGGGUAGAAAUAUCCCUUUUCGCAAGAACUGCUGUGGAGGUGCUGCAUGGCUGUCGUCAGCUCGUGUCGUGAGAUGUUGGGUUAAGUCCCGCAACGAGCGCAACCCUUAUCGUUAGUUGCCAGCGGGUCAAGCCGGGCACUCUAGCGAAACCGCCCCGGAUAACGGGGAGGAAGGUGGGGAUGACGUCAAGUCCUCAUGGCCUUUAUGUCCAGGGCUACACACGUGCUACAAUGGUCGGUACAAACCGUCGCAAACCUGCGAAGGGGAGCUAAUCGGAAAAAGCCGGCCUCAGUUCGGAUUGGAGUCUGCAACUCGACUCCAUGAAGCUGGAAUCGCUAGUAAUCGCGGAUCAGCACGCCGCGGUGAAUACGUUCCCGGGCCUUGUACACACCGACGCAC
Molecule: ribosomal RNA, 440 nt
Filed under: uncultured bacterium
Lineage: Bacteria
Description: bacterial SSU rRNA
Rfam family: Bacterial small subunit ribosomal RNA
Source: RNAcentral